Molecule: ribosomal RNA, 280 nt
Filed under: uncultured bacterium
Lineage: Bacteria
Description: partial 16S ribosomal RNA
Rfam family: Bacterial small subunit ribosomal RNA
Source: RNAcentral
ACUUGCUUUCUUUGCCGGCGACCGGCGCACGGGUGAAUAACACGUAUCCAACCUGCCCUUUACUCGGGGAUAGCCUUUCGAAAGAAAGAUUAAUACCCGAUGGCAUAGUUCUUCCGCAUGGUAGAACUAUUAAAGAAUUUCGGUCAUCGAUGGGGAUGCGUUCCAUUAGGUUGUUGGCGGGGUAACGGCCCACCAAGCCUUCGAUGGAUAGGGGUUCUGAGAGGAAGGUCCCCCACAUUGGAACUGAGACACGGUCCAAACUCCUACGGGAGGCAGCAUG